UCCGUAGGUGAACCUGCGGAAGGAUCAUUACUGGGUAUAGGCCUCGCGCCUCCAACCCCACCCAUUGUAACCGCGGCCCGGAUUCGGCGCCUGGCGGGGGACCCCUCCGCUACCAGAGGCCCCUCGACUGCCGGAAUCAGCCAACCCUACCUUGAAACUGAAGUCUGAGAACAAGUUAAAUUAAAUAAAACUUUCAACAACGGAUCUCUUGGUUCUGGCAACGAUGAAGAACGCAGCGAAAUGCGAUAAGUAAUGUGAAUUGCAGAAUUUAGUGAAUCAUCGAAUCUUUGAACGCACAUUGCGCCCCUUGGUAUUCCGGGGGGCACACCUGUUCGAGCGCCAUUUCACCCCUCGAGCCCUGCUCGGUGAUGGGCCACGUCCUCGCGGACGGGCCCGAAACUCGUAGGCGCCAUCGUCCGGCCCUAAGCGUAGCAAGAGAAAUCCCUCGCUUGGUGGACCGUCUGGUGGCAGCCCCGACAACUUUUUUUUUACAAGGUUGGCCUCGGAUCAGGUGGGGAUACCCGCUGAACUUAAGCAUAUC
Molecule: ribosomal RNA, 541 nt
Filed under: uncultured Venturiaceae
Lineage: Eukaryota; Fungi; Ascomycota; Dothideomycetes; Venturiales; Venturiaceae
Description: eukaryotic LSU rRNA
Rfam family: 5.8S ribosomal RNA (bases 189-342)
Source: RNAcentral